Mesocricetus auratus (golden hamster) is the source of this 107-nucleotide small nuclear RNA. NCBI's taxonomy places the organism in Eukaryota, Metazoa, Chordata, Mammalia, Rodentia, Cricetidae. The record is from Ensembl.
GUGCUUGCUUUGGCAGCACAUAUACAAAAAUUGGAACAAUACAGAGAAGUCUAUCAUGGUCCCAGCACAAGGAUGACAUGCAAAUUCGUGUAGUGUUCCAAAUUUUU